This 2802-nucleotide unclassified non-coding RNA is filed under the name Leishmania donovani. Its description in RNAcentral is "gene:LdHU3.32.0910(CDS-product:ubiquitin-conjugat ing_enzyme_E2_putative)". The record is from RNAcentral. Lineage: Eukaryota; Euglenozoa; Kinetoplastea; Trypanosomatida; Trypanosomatidae.
GUGCUUGCCAUCGUCACUCUCACCACAUCAAGCGUCUCUCCAUCAGUACCAAACACACCACUGAACCAAUCAAACACUAUUAUUUCUCAUUUGCCUUCUCGAAAGCCGCCAUCUUCCUCCCACUUCUCCUCUCUCCCGCAGGUUCCCGCGACAUCCGACAUAUCCAGCCGAACCUCACACCACUUCCUCCUUUCUACCCCACUCCCGCAAACACAAAGCACUGUAUUCUUCCUUCUGCCGCCCGAUCUCGACACCUCCGGUGGACAACGAGACGAACAGGGGACAAAAAAAAACGGGGAAAACGAAAAGGGCGACGCGUAGUCCCACAGCGGCCUUCCGCGUUGCUGUGACCUCGACGCCCUCUUCGUUUGCCCUCUUCUCCCUCUAUUUCGCAUUUUUUUUCGCUUAUCCUUGCCGCUGUCGCUGUACCUCUUCAACGUGUUCGUCCCGCUGCCUCACACUCUGGCUGAUACCGACACACCCACAUAGAGGAGUACGGCGACCGCGUUGUGAGGGCAAACGCACGCGCACCGAGUGAGACGCAAGCAGACAAAGAUUUACUCGACAGCCUGUUUGUGCCUCCCCUCCAUAUCCACUCACUACUCUGCCUGCGCCGUUGCUUUCCUCUCCCCCUCACGCACACCGGCAUCGCACAAACCUUCGGCUAUUCAUACUCGGCCCCCCUUUUUGCCCGUUCCGUCUGCCGUGCCCCUGGGAUACAUCGAGGAAGGCGCAAGGGACUCGGCGGAUCGCGAGGGAAGGACAGAGGAGUCCCCCUCCCUCCUGGUGUCUGCUCCCUUUCAGCCAACAGCACCACCCUUCUUUCUUCUCCGUUGCUGUUUUUCGCUCCACCACAGAUCCCAGCCGCCACCACCGAACAAGGGAAAGGAGGCAGACAUAUUUUCACCGCAUCCAACAUGAGCGGCGCAGGCAACCUCCGCAGCAACCGCCGUCGGGAGAUGGACUACAUGCGGUUGUGCAACUCAACGCGCAAGGUGUACCCGUCCGACACAGUGGCCGAGUUCUGGGUAGAGUUUAAAGGUCCGGAGGGCACGCCGUAUGAGGAUGGCACCUGGAUGCUGCACGUCCAGCUACCAUCCGAUUACCCGUUCAAGUCACCGUCCAUCGGCUUCUGUAACCGCAUCCUGCACCCGAACGUCGACGAGCGUAGCGGCAGCGUCUGCCUCGACGUCAUCAACCAGACAUGGACCCCCAUGUACCAACUGGAGAACAUAUUCGACGUCUUCCUUCCGCAGCUGCUGCGCUACCCCAACCCAUCAGAUCCCCUAAAUGCGCAGGCCGCGCACCUCCUCCACGCCGACCGCGUCGGCUUCGAUGCGCUUCUCCGCGAGCAUGUGAGCACCCACGCCACACCAGAGAAGGCGCUUGAGUCGAUCCCGGAAGCGUACAGGCCACAUGACAACACGAAUGAGGAAGAACCAGACGAGGCCAACGCCAAGGACACGGCCUCUGACGGCCCUGUGAAUGCAGGGCACUCCAAGGGAUUGACGGACUCCUCAGUGACACCGACAGAGGACCACCGAGUCAUGCACGACGACAUGGCCAUCGACGGCGACGAGGACGUAGAGGCCGAGUACGAGCCGGAGGAGAUCGAUCUUUGAUACUUUGCUGCGACCGCCUCUUAUACCCGCCGCUUACUCGCGCGUUUGAGGCAUUCCUCGAGAAGUUAUGUGCGCCCAUCGCCGGCCCCCUUUCCGAGCGCCCUCUCUCGCCGCCGAAUGUUGGGAGACUCGCCCGACGAGGCGGCUCUUGAUGCCCCAAUAUGAGUCCUCCAUUGCGAGAUGAGAGGUGUGCAUCUGGCGCUGCUGCCCCUGGAACCCUCCGACAGCGAACAAAAGAGUAGAUGCCGAAACGACAACAAAAAGUAAAGCUGCACCGUCGAUCCUUGCUGUGUGCGUGCGUGCCUGUGUUGGAGCGUGCUGAAUUCGCAGACUCCCGUGUCCUCGUGCGCAUCCGUCUCCCACCCCCUCGCACUGCUUCACACCCACCCUCACAAAACUCACACAUGCAUAGGCAUUGGCACAACCCCUCUUCGCUUCAUUAUGUUUUAUGUUUUUUUUUCCCUUUGUCUAGCUCUGUUUUACCUCUGCUUCCACUCUUUCUUCUUUUUCCCGGUUAUCAUCUCCGUUCUUGUUCUCACCUUCUCUUUCCUUCGCUGGCCGGUUUCGCUGUUUUUCCUUGUUCUUCCCUUUUGUUUUCGAUGUCGUCGUUGUUUCUUUGCUGCUGCUGAUUUCAGAUUUCUGCUUACUUGCGUUCGUGUCUACAUGUAUGCUGGUUUAAAUGAGGGUGGGGGAGGUACUGCUGCUACGGCUCACCCGUUCGAUGGUUGUCUGUGUGUCUCUGGUGUCGCCCACCGCACGUCGCUACGGAUGCUAUAGCGUUUUUUCUCGAUGUCGUCUUUGGACGUUUCGUUUUUUCUCCGUAGGUGCGCGUGCAUCUCUCUCUCCAUCUCCCCCCCCUCGCAGACGAGCCUGCAGUGUCUGACGUUCUCCACUUGAAUGGCGAACAGAGAGGAGAGAAAGAGAAAGCGAGGCCUCAGUACACGGAACGGCGAACGUGCAUACAGCGACUCGCACGAAUGCGUCCGCCACCAUGGAAAAUAUAUGCGCGGGUGGCGAAGCGAGGCGAUUAAUGCACCUUCAUGCGUUCUGAUGUUGGGGCGAUUCCGAGCUCCCUGGCACACGACCGCACAUACACACCAUGGCUUCUGUUGUCGCUCUUGUGGUUGUUUCAUUCAUUGCACUUCUUUGCUACCUUCCUCCCUCUCCCUCACUGGCGAAG